RNAcentral lists this ribosomal RNA (759 nucleotides) under uncultured Neisseriaceae bacterium. Its description in RNAcentral is "bacterial SSU rRNA". It matches the Rfam family "Bacterial small subunit ribosomal RNA", at positions 28 to 776 of the family's 1533-position model. Lineage: Bacteria; Pseudomonadati; Pseudomonadota; Betaproteobacteria; Neisseriales; Neisseriaceae. The record is from RNAcentral.
AUUGAACGCUGGCGGCAUGCUUUACACAUGCAAGUCGGACGGCAGCAUAAAAGAGCUUGCUCUUUUGAUGGCGAGUGGCGAACGGGUGAGUAAUGCAUCGGAACGUACCGAGUAGUGGGGGAUAACUGUCCGAAAGGAUGGCUAAUACCGCAUAUUCUCUGAGGAGGAAAGCAGGGGACCUUAGGGCCUUGCGCUAUUUGAGCGGCCGAUGUCUGAUUAGCUAGUUGGUGGGGUAAGAGCCCACCAAGGCGACGAUCAGUAGCGGGUCUGAGAGGAUGAUCCGCCACACUGGGACUGAGACACGGCCCAGACUCCUACGGGAGGCAGCAGUGGGGAAUUUUGGACAAUGGGCGCAAGCCUGAUCCAGCCAUGCCGCGUGUAUGAAGAAGGCCUUCGGGUUGUAAAGUACUUUUGUCAGGGAAGAAAAGCCUGAGGAUAACACCCUCAGGUCAUGACGGUACCUGAAGAAUAAGCACCGGCUAACUACGUGCCGGCAGCCGCGGUAAUACGUAGGGUGCGAGCGUUAAUCGGAAUUACUGGGCGUAAAGCGAGCGCAGACGGUUAUUUAAGCAAGAUGUGAAAGCCCCGGGCUCAACCUGGGAACUGCGUUUUGAACUGGGUAACUAGAGUGUGUCAGAGGGGGGUAGAAUUCCACGUGUAGCAGUGAAAUGCGUAGAGAUGUGGAGGAAUACCGAUGGCGAAGGCAGCCCCCUGGGAUAACACUGACGUUCAUGCUCGAAAGCGUGGGUAGCAAACAGG